Molecule: ribosomal RNA, 459 nt
Filed under: uncultured bacterium
Lineage: Bacteria
Description: partial 16S ribosomal RNA
Rfam family: Bacterial small subunit ribosomal RNA
Source: RNAcentral
CCUACGGGAGGCAGCAGUGAGGAAUAUUGGUCAAUGGUCGGGAGACUGAACCAGCCAAGCCGCGUGAGGGAGGAAGGUACAGAGUAUCGUAAACCUCUUUUGUCAGGGAACAAAGGCGGGGACGUGUCCCCGGAUGAGUGUACCUGAAGAAAAAGCAUCGGCUAACUCCGUGCCAGCAGCCGCGGUAAUACGGAGGAUGCGAGCGUUAUCCGGAUUUAUGGGGUUUAAAGGGUGCGCAGGCGGUCUGUUAAGUCAGCGGUCAAAGCCCGGGGCUCAACCCCGGCCCGCCGUGGAAACUGGCAGUCUCGAGUUGGAGAGAAGUAUGCGGAAUGCGCGGUGUAGCGGUGAACUGCAUAGAUAUCGCGCAGAACUCCGAUUGCGAAGGCAGCAUGCCGGCUCCACACUGACGCUGAGGCACGAAAGCGUGGGUAUCGAACAGGAUUAGAUACCCGGGUAGUC